This 315-nucleotide ribosomal RNA is filed under the name uncultured eukaryote. RNAcentral describes it as "partial 18S ribosomal RNA". It matches the Rfam family "Eukaryotic small subunit ribosomal RNA", at positions 1470 to 1796 of the family's 1831-position model. The record is from RNAcentral.
CCCUUAGACGUUCUGGGCCGCACGCGCGCUACACUGACCAGUGCAACAAGCAUCCGUCCUUGGCCGACAGGCCCGGGCAAUCUUUGAACGCUGGUCGUGAUGGGGAUAGACUUUUGCAAUUUUUGGUCUUCAACGAGGAAUUCCUAGUAAACGCAAGUCAUCAACUUGCAUUGAUUACGUCCCUGCCCUUUGUACACACCGCCAGUCGCACCUACCGAUUGAAUGGUCCGGUGAAGCCUCCGGAUUGGCGCGCACCUCGGUGCCGCCGAGAAGUUGGCUAAACCUUACCAUUUAGAGGAAGGUGAAGUCGUAACA